GAGUUUGAUCCUGGCUCAGAACGAACGCUGGCGGCAGGCCUAACACAUGCAAGUCGAGCGGGUGCAGCGAUGCACCAGCGGCGCACGGGUGAGUAACGCGUGGGAACCUGCCCUUUGGUUUGGAACAACCCUGGGAAACUAGGGCUGAUACCGGAUGAGCCCCGCGAGGGGGAAAGAUUUAUCGCCGAAGGAGGGGCCCGCGUCCGAUUAGCUAGUUGGUGGGGUAAUGGCCUACCAAGGCUGCGAUCGGUAGCCGGUCUGAGAGGACGAUCGGCCACACUGGGACUGAGACACGGCCCAGACUCCUACGGGAGGCAGCAGUGGGGAAUAUUGGACAAUGGGCGCAAGCCUGAUCCAGCCAUGCCGCGUGGGUGAUGAAGGCCUUC
RNAcentral lists this ribosomal RNA (386 nucleotides) under uncultured Alphaproteobacteria bacterium. RNAcentral describes it as "bacterial SSU rRNA". It matches the Rfam family "Bacterial small subunit ribosomal RNA", at positions 9 to 419 of the family's 1533-position model. The record is from RNAcentral. Lineage: Bacteria; Pseudomonadati; Pseudomonadota; Alphaproteobacteria.